This is a long non-coding RNA of Cyanistes caeruleus (blue tit), 1407 nucleotides long. RefSeq lists it as uncharacterized. The record is from RefSeq and is a predicted model, not a curated record. NCBI's taxonomy places the organism in Eukaryota, Metazoa, Chordata, Aves, Passeriformes, Paridae.
UCCACUCCUGGAGCUCAUUAGGGGCCUGCUGUUCUGCUGAGAACCACACCACAUGCUCUGCCCCGCGCUGGCGGCGGAUUAGCCUGUUGCUGCUCCUUAAAUUACCAGGAUCUCAGAGCAGUACCAUGAGAUGUACCAGCCACUCUAGAGUACAUACAGAGAUGAUCAAGGAGCCAGUGGAAGGAAGAUGCUCUGCUGGACUUUAUCUUUUGCAAUAAAGAAGCGUGCAUGGAUGAUCAAGGAGGUGCUGGAGCUUACAAGCUAGAUGUACGGAAGAGCUGGAAGAAAGGAGAGGUGAUUUGUAAGGGAUAUACAGAAAUGGUCUAAAACACAGAUAUGAGGUUUGGAAAAUGUGGAGCUGGAUCUGGCAAGGGAUAGAAACAAAAAAGGCUUCGCAGGUACAUUGCAAUAAAAAGAAGAUUGGGGAAAAUUUGGGUUUGCUGCCAAAAGGACUGGGGGACCUGGUGACAAAAAGACAUUGAGAAGACUUAAGUUACUCAGUACCUGUUUUGUCUUGGCUUUUAUACUGGUAAGACUAGUCUUGAAAUGAGAUAAUGCAGUAAUGUGCAUUAAGAAAUAGCACAAAAGCAUGCACAAAUAAUUGCAUUAUUGAGCAUUGUUCAUCUAAAAAGAGUUUUAAAGCACAGCAGUCAGUCCCAUCAAGGGACCAGUGUUCCAGGGAAGUAGGGACAAGUUUUAUUUCAAAACACAGUUUCCACAAUGAUAUGUGCAAAGUGGAACAUUUUAAGCACAAAUAUCUAUAAACAACCAUUUGUGCAUACAUUUGUGAUGUUUCCACAUAGCACUGUAUACCUGCUUUGUGUGGAUGUCAUGACUUGGAACCAAGAGUGCUGGUGAAGCAACUUCUUGAAUGACAGCUCCAUGAAAAAUAGCUCCUUGGUAUGUGUGCUUAGUUAAAAGUCUCAGGGAAAGAAGCAACUGGGCUGUGAUUGCUGUGGGCAUGGUUACAGCAGAAAUCUGCCAGCCAAAGUCACUCUGUAAAUGCAGUUCUGAACCUUAACUUAUUGUUACAGGUCCAGCCAACAAUCGGGUAAUUACAUGGUUGCAGCUGGUAAAGCUGACUGACAUUUAUUUGACUACAGAACAAAAAUGUGUGAAGCUGGUCUAACUACACAGCCCCCUGAGGACGUCUUUAAACAAAAUUCACAAGGAUAAAUACUAAGAAAUAAAACUUGAAAGAAUGUAUAAAGCCCAUCUGAUAUACUCUGGCCACUGGAAUUUAAUGGGAUUUUUUCCAAAACCUAAAUGGGUGAAAAUUGCAUGCCUAUGUUUUGGAAGUUUUUCUAACUGAAAUACAUGCUCUAGACUUGUUUACUCUUGAUAACACCUUUGCUUUCUCUCCUGCAAGCUGGGAAUUGCAUCAACAAAAUAUGCUGCAGCUGAAAA